UGGGGAAUUUUGGACAAUGGGCGAAAGCCUGAUCCAGCAAUGCCGCGUGUGUGAAGAAGGCCUUCGGGUUGUAAAGCACUUUUGUCCGGAAAGAAAUCCUUGGCUCUAAUACAGUCGGGGGAUGACGGUACCGGAAGAAUAAGCACCGGCUAACUACGUGCCAGCAGCCGCGGUAAUACGUAGGGUGCAAGCGUUAAUCGGAAUUACUGGGCGUAAAGCGUGCGCAGGCGGUUUGCUAAGACCGAUGUGAAAUCCCCGGGCUCAGCCUGGGAACUGCAUUGGUGACUGGCAGGCUAGAGUAUGGCAGAGGGGGGUAGAAUUCCACGUGUAGCAGUGAAAUGCGUAGAGAUGUGGAGGAAUACCGAUGGCGAAGGCAGCCCCCUGGGCCAAUACUGACGCUCAUGCACGAAAGCGUGGGGAGCAAACAGGAUUAGAUACCCUGGUAGUCCACGCCCUAAAACGAUGUCAACUAGUUGUUGGGGAUUCAUUUCCUUAGUAACGUAGCUAACGCGUGAAGUUGACCGCCUGGGGAGUACGGUCGCAAGAUUAAAACUCAAAGGAAUUGACGGGGUCAUAGCUGUUUCCU
Molecule: ribosomal RNA, 586 nt
Filed under: uncultured bacterium
Lineage: Bacteria
Description: partial 16S ribosomal RNA
Rfam family: Bacterial small subunit ribosomal RNA
Source: RNAcentral